Molecule: ribosomal RNA, 213 nt
Filed under: Phaeosphaeriaceae sp.
Lineage: Eukaryota; Fungi; Ascomycota; Dothideomycetes; Pleosporales; Phaeosphaeriaceae
Description: partial large subunit ribosomal RNA
Source: RNAcentral
AAGCGCUUGCAGCCAGACUUGUUUGUAGUUGCUUAUCUAGACUGCUGUCUAGUGCACUCUUCUGCAGGCAGGCCAGCAUCAGUUUGGGCGGUUGGAUAAAGGUCUCUGUCACGUACCUGCCUUCGGGCAGGCCUUAUAGGGGAGGCGUCAUGCAACCAGCCUGAACUGAGGUCUGCGCAUCUGCUAGGAUGCUGGCGUAAUGGCUGUAAGCGG